UACGUAGGGUGCGAGCGUUGUCCGGAAUUAUUGGGCGGAAAGGGCUCGUAGGCGGUUUGUCGCGUCGGGAGUGAAAACCCAGGGCUUAACCCUGGGCUGGCUUCCGAUACGGGCAGACUAGAGGUAUGCAGGGGAGAACGGAAUUCCUGGUGUAGCGGUGAAAUGCGCAGAUAUCAGGAGGAACACCGGUGGCGAAGGCGGUUCUCUGGGCAUUACCUGACGCUGAGGAGCGAAAGUGUGGGGAGCGAACAGG
RNAcentral lists this ribosomal RNA (253 nucleotides) under uncultured bacterium. RNAcentral describes it as "partial 16S ribosomal RNA". It matches the Rfam family "Bacterial small subunit ribosomal RNA", at positions 524 to 776 of the family's 1533-position model. The record is from RNAcentral.